UACAGAGGGGGCAAGCGUUGUUCGGAAUUACUGGGCGUAAAGGGCGCGUAGGCGGCCGCCUAAGUCAGACGUGAAAUCCCUCGGCUCAACCGGGGAACUGCGUCUGAUACUGGGUGGCUUGAAUUCGGGAGAGGGAUGCGGAAUUCCAGGUGUAGCGGUGAAAUGCGUAGAUAUCUGGAGGAACACCGGUGGCGAAGGCGGCAUCCUGGACCAACACUGACACUGAGGAGCGAAAGCCGGGGGAGCAAACGGG
This 253-nucleotide ribosomal RNA is filed under the name uncultured bacterium. Its description in RNAcentral is "partial 16S ribosomal RNA". It matches the Rfam family "Bacterial small subunit ribosomal RNA", at positions 524 to 776 of the family's 1533-position model. The record is from RNAcentral.